RNAcentral lists this non-coding RNA (113 nucleotides) under Garciella nitratireducens. Lineage: Bacteria; Bacillati; Bacillota; Clostridia; Eubacteriales; Eubacteriaceae. The record is from RNAcentral.
GAGAGAAGGCUUCUAGAAAUCGUUAUUCAGGCGAAGGUUUCAAACCACUAUUAGGUGCUGUAAUUAAAAACUAUGGUGCUGGUUGUGUAAUAGGAUUCACAGCUGAUUUAAGA